UCGCUCCUACCGAUUUCGAGUGGUCCGGUGAACUAUUUGGACCGAAGACAACCUUGUGUAGUCAUUGGAAAAUCUCGUAAACCACAUCACUUAGAGGAAGGAG
RNAcentral lists this ribosomal RNA (103 nucleotides) under uncultured eukaryote. RNAcentral's name for it is "partial small subunit ribosomal RNA". The record is from RNAcentral.